This is a long non-coding RNA of Oncorhynchus keta (chum salmon), 490 nucleotides long. RefSeq lists it as uncharacterized. NCBI's taxonomy places the organism in Eukaryota, Metazoa, Chordata, Actinopteri, Salmoniformes, Salmonidae. The transcript is spliced from 3 exons. The record is from RefSeq and is a predicted model, not a curated record.
GGUGUAGAAGCACGGUGGCUAGGAAAAACUCCCUAGAAAGGCCAAAACCUAGGAAGAAACCUAGAGAGGAACCAGGCUAUGUGGGGUGGCCAGUCCUCUUCUGGCUGUGCCGGGUGGAGAUUAUAACAGAACAUGGCCAAGAUGUUCAAAUGUUCAUAAAUGACCAGCAUGGUCGAAUAAUAACAAGGCAGAACAGUUGAAACUGGAGCAGCAGUAUGGCCAGGUGGACUGGGGACAGCAAGGAGUCAUCAUGUCAGGUAGUCCUGGGGCAUGGUCCUAGGGCUCAGGUCAGUUGAAACUGGAGCAGCAGCAUGGCCAGGUGGACUGGGGACAGCAAGGAGUCAUCAUGUCAGGUAGUCCUGGGGCAUGGUCCUAGGGCUCAGGUCCUCCGAGAGAGAGAAAGAAAGAGAGAAGGAGAGAAUUAGAGAACGCACACUUAGAUUCACACAGGACACCGAAUAGGACAGGAGAAGUACUCCAGAUAUAACAA